Molecule: ribosomal RNA, 550 nt
Filed under: uncultured bacterium
Lineage: Bacteria
Description: bacterial SSU rRNA
Rfam family: Bacterial small subunit ribosomal RNA
Source: RNAcentral
UAGGGAAUCUUCGNCAAUGGACGGAAGUCUGACCGAGCAACGCCGCGUGAGUGAAGAAGGUUUUCGGAUCGUAAAGCUCUGUUGUAAGAGAAGAACGAGUGUGAGAGUGGAAAGUUCACACUGUGACGGUAUCUUACCAGAAAGGGACGGCUAACUACGUGCCAGCAGCCGCGGUAAUACGUAGGUCCCGAGCGUUGUCCGGAUUUAUUGGGCGUAAAGCGAGCGCAGGCGGUUAGAUAAGUCUGAAGUUAAAGGCUGUGGCUUAACCAUAGUACGCUUUGGAAACUGUUUAACUUGAGUGCAAGAGGGGAGAGUGGAAUUCCAUGUGUAGCGGUGAAAUGCGUAGAUAUAUGGAGGAACACCGGUGGCGAAAGCGGCUCUCUGGCUUGUAACUGACGCUGAGGCUCGAAAGCGUGGGGAGCAAACAGGAUUAGAUACCCUGGUAGUCCACGCCGUAAACGAUGAGUGCUAGGUGUUAGACCCUUUCCGGGGUUUAGUGCCGCAGCUAACGCAUUAAGCACUCCGCCUGGGGAGUACGACCGCAAGGUUG